UACGAAGGGUGCAAGCGUUACUCGGAAUUACUGGGCGUAAAGCGUGCGUAGUCGGUUAUCUAAGUCAGGUGUGAAAUCCCCGGGCUCAACCUGGGAAUUGCAUUUGAUACUGGAUAGCUAGAGUUCGGCAGAGGGAAGUGGAAUUUCUGGUGUAGCGGUGAAAUGCGUAGAUAUCAGAAGGAACAUCAGUGGCGAAAGCGACUUCCUGGACCAGAACUGACGAUCAGGCACGAAAGCGUGGGGAGCAAACAGG
Molecule: ribosomal RNA, 253 nt
Filed under: uncultured bacterium
Lineage: Bacteria
Description: partial 16S ribosomal RNA
Rfam family: Bacterial small subunit ribosomal RNA
Source: RNAcentral